UACGUAGGGUGCGAGCGUUGUCCGGAAUUAUUGGGCGUAAAGAGCUUGUAGGCGGUUUGUCGCGUCUGCCGUGAAAAUUCGAGGCUCAACCUCGAACUUGCGGUGGGUACGGGGCAGACUAGAGUGUGGUAGGGGAGACUGGAAUUCCUGGUGUAGCGGUGGAAUGCGCAGAUAUCAGGAGGAACACCGGUGGCGAAGGCGGGUCUCUGGGCCGUAACUGACGCUGAGGAGCGAAAGCAUGGGGAGCGAACAGG
RNAcentral lists this ribosomal RNA (254 nucleotides) under uncultured bacterium. Its description in RNAcentral is "partial 16S ribosomal RNA". It matches the Rfam family "Bacterial small subunit ribosomal RNA", at positions 524 to 776 of the family's 1533-position model. The record is from RNAcentral.